RNAcentral lists this unclassified non-coding RNA (176 nucleotides) under Cladophialophora sp. RNAcentral's name for it is "partial internal transcribed spacer 2". RNAcentral also lists the same sequence under 1 other name. The record is from RNAcentral. Lineage: Eukaryota; Fungi; Ascomycota; Eurotiomycetes; Chaetothyriales; Herpotrichiellaceae.
UCACCCCUCAAGCCCCCGGCUUGGUGUUGGAUUCAAGUCGUCGCUCGCCCGGUGACUGGUCUCGAAGACAGUGACGCCGUCCCAGAGGGAACCGGUACGAGGAGCUUUCUUAACCGAAGCAUGUGCCGGGAAGACUUUCGCGGGCGGUGGUCUCUUGUAACCACAAAUUUUCUAAG